AUUGAACGCUGGCGGAAUGCUUUACACAUGCAAGUCGAACGGCAGCACGGACUUCGGUCUGGUGGCGAGUGGCGAACGGGUGAGUAAUGUAUCGGAACGUGCCCAGUCGUGGGGGAUAACGUAGUGAAAAUUACGCUAAUACCGCAUACGAUCUAUGGAUGAAAGCGGGGGAUCGCAAGACCUCGCGCGAUUGGAGCGGCCGACAUCAGAUUAGGUAGUUGGUGGGGUAAAGGCCCACCAAGCCAACGAUCUGUAGCUGGUCUGAGAGGACGACCGGCCAAACUGGAACUGAGACACGGUCCAGACUCCUACGGGAGGCAGCAGUGGGGAAUUUUGGACAAUGGGCGAAAGCCUGAUCCAGCCAUUCCGCGUGCGGGAUGAAGGCCCUCGGGUUGUAAACUGCUUUUGUACAGAACGAAAAGGUUUCUACUAAUACUAGGAGCUCAUGACGGUACUGUAAGAAUAAGCACCGGCUAACUACGUGCCAGCCGCCGCCGUAA
This 500-nucleotide ribosomal RNA is filed under the name uncultured bacterium. RNAcentral's name for it is "partial 16S ribosomal RNA". It matches the Rfam family "Bacterial small subunit ribosomal RNA", at positions 30 to 523 of the family's 1533-position model. The record is from RNAcentral.